Molecule: ribosomal RNA, 440 nt
Filed under: uncultured Desulfobulbus sp.
Lineage: Bacteria; Pseudomonadati; Thermodesulfobacteriota; Desulfobulbia; Desulfobulbales; Desulfobulbaceae
Description: bacterial SSU rRNA
Rfam family: Bacterial small subunit ribosomal RNA
Source: RNAcentral
CAUGUGGUUAAUUUCGAAGCAACGCGAGACUUACCAGCCUUGACAUGCAGAGAACUUUCCAGAGAUGGAUUGGUGCCUUCGGGAACUCUGACACAGGUGCUGCAUGGCUGUCGUCAGCUCGUGUCGUGAGAUGUUGGGUUAAGUCCCGUAACGAGCGCAACCCUUGCCUUUAGUUGCCAGCAGUUCGGCUGGGCACUCUAAAGGGACUGCCGGUGUUAAACCGGAGGAAGGUGGGGAUGACGUCAAGUCCUCAUGGCCUUUAUGACCAGGGCUACACACGUACUACAAUGGCCGAUACAAAGGGCAGCGACACUGCGAGGUGAAGCCAAUCCCGUAAAAUCGGUCUCAGUCCGGAUUGGAGUCUGCAACUCGACUCCAUGAAGUUGGAAUCGCUAGUAAUCGUGGAUCAGCAUGCCACGGUGAAUACGUUCCCGGGCCUU